AUGUUUGGGAUGUCAACACUGCUGACUUUAUUUUACGUUACUAUCCGUAAAAUAAAUCUGGAGAAAUCUGAUCAGACAUUGUUGAAUUUAUGUCAGAUGUGAGACGUCAUUUCAGUAUUGAGAUGCACUGUGAUCACAUUGGCAAUAUAAAUGGUAAUCAUUAAAACUCAUAUUUGCGCACAUAAGGGAUACUGUAUUAACAUUUCACCUUCUUAAACAAGUGUUCUACUGGCAGAUGUUUAUUGGACGCUGCUUACAUGCAGGUUCACAGGCACAUUAGCAACUAUGGCAACAAAAAAGUUCACAUUUAGUCACCAGCACCACCAUGAAGACUAGUUGUUUCAGGGAAAAACAAACUCUACUCAACAGUCCAAAAGUGAUCCAUCCUUGUAUCGCGGAGUCUAUGUUGAUGAAUUUGUUAUUGCAUCUCUAUGUUAGUGUAUUAGUCUUAAACCAAAGCUGAGUGAGGUUGCAUACUAACGUUGAACAGAUAUUUCUAACACUCCACGGAGACCAAAAACUACCUCACAAAACCUACUCACUUUCACAAGCACAAUAUAUCACAUAUGGAUGGAUUCAGCCUGGGAAUGAAUAUCAGAUGACCCACUUAUAUAUAAUUGAUAGAAAACAUGUUUUCUUUGUAUCACAUUAAGUUGAUUCAUAGCAGUUCAAACAAUAUAAGACAAUGAUGGAGUGUUGGCAUGUUCAUACAGUGGUUAAGAUGAACAAGGUAUACAAAACAUUACAAGGAAUGUUAUUUAUGUGUUGGUCAAAGCAUGCAAGGCUAAUAUCAGAUAGCUGGGACGUUGUACAAUUGCAUGAAGCAACAUUGCAGCAUACUGGAGAAUGAAACAAAAGCAAUAACGCCAAAAAGCAUGAUGGAAAUCAAAAAUGGUAACUAUUUUAGGUAACUAUAAUCAUUUUAAGUGGUUACCAGUAAAACAGGUUAACUUUUAAAAGUUAAUCCACAUCAAGUAUCUGUAUGCCAGACACCUGCUUUGUUACAUUCCCCCGAUGCUA
Long non-coding RNA from Sinocyclocheilus anshuiensis, 1020 nucleotides. RefSeq lists it as uncharacterized. The transcript has 2 exons. The record is from RefSeq and is a predicted model, not a curated record. NCBI's taxonomy places the organism in Eukaryota, Metazoa, Chordata, Actinopteri, Cypriniformes, Cyprinidae.